GCCGGGUGCGGUGGCUCACACCUGUAGUCCCAGCACUUUGGGAGGCCGAGGCGGGUGGAUCACCUGAGGUCAGGAGUUCAAGACCAGCCUGGCCAACAUGGUGAAACCCCGUCUCUA
Molecule: non-coding RNA, 117 nt
Filed under: Chlorocebus sabaeus (green monkey)
Lineage: Eukaryota; Metazoa; Chordata; Mammalia; Primates; Cercopithecidae
Source: Rfam by way of RNAcentral